RNAcentral lists this ribosomal RNA (253 nucleotides) under Bacteroides eggerthii DSM 20697. RNAcentral describes it as "partial 16S ribosomal RNA". It matches the Rfam family "Bacterial small subunit ribosomal RNA", at positions 524 to 776 of the family's 1533-position model. The record is from RNAcentral. Lineage: Bacteria; Pseudomonadati; Bacteroidota; Bacteroidia; Bacteroidales; Bacteroidaceae. RNAcentral also lists the same sequence under 1 other name.
UACGGAGGAUCCGAGCGUUAUCCGGAUUUAUUGGGUUUAAAGGGAGCGUAGGCGGGUGCUUAAGUCAGUUGUGAAAGUUUGCGGCUCAACCGUAAAAUUGCAGUUGAUACUGGGCGCCUUGAGUGCAGCAUAGGUAGGCGGAAUUCGUGGUGUAGCGGUGAAAUGCUUAGAUAUCACGAAGAACUCCGAUUGCGAAGGCAGCUUACUGGACUGUAACUGACGCUGAUGCUCGAAAGUGUGGGUAUCAAACAGG